ACGAGUUCUGACUUGGGUUGUCGCUGGUCCUCCGGGACAUGUGCACACUCAAUGCUCAUCCACUCACCCCUGUGCACACUUGUAGUCUCUCUAAUGGAUGUUGAAGGCCUCACGGGCUGGAUCUAUCUAACGGGGGGAUUACGUUUUAUACACGCAUAAAGUCUAGAAUGUAAUCUUUGCUAUAAACGCAUUUAAUA
Molecule: unclassified non-coding RNA, 197 nt
Filed under: uncultured Basidiomycota
Lineage: Eukaryota; Fungi; Basidiomycota
Description: sequence contains ITS1
Source: RNAcentral